RNAcentral lists this ribosomal RNA (400 nucleotides) under uncultured bacterium. RNAcentral describes it as "bacterial SSU rRNA". It matches the Rfam family "Bacterial small subunit ribosomal RNA", at positions 116 to 518 of the family's 1533-position model. The record is from RNAcentral.
CGCAAAUAACCUGCCAUCAGAUGGGACAACAAUCCGAAAGGGUUGCCAAUACCGAAUGUUGUAUGAUUGUCGCAUGGUGAUUAUACUAAAGAUUUAUCGCUGAAUGAGGGGUUUGCGUCUGAUUAGGUAGUUGGUAGGGUAAAGGCUUACCAAGCCGACGAUCAGUAACCGGUCUGAGAGGAUGAACGGUCACAUUGGAACUGAGACACGGUCCAGACUCCUACGGGAGGCAGCAGUGGGGAAUAUUCCACAAUGGGCGAAAGCCUGAUGGAGCGACGCCGCGUGAAGUGAAGAAGGGUUUCGACUCGUAAAGCUCUUUUCUUGCAGACGAAUGGCUAAUUGUAUUAGAAGAGACGGUAUGUAAGGAAUAAGCCACGGCUAACUACGUGCCAGCAGCAGC